Molecule: long non-coding RNA, 3340 nt
Organism: Musa acuminata AAA Group (dessert banana)
Lineage: Eukaryota; Viridiplantae; Streptophyta; Magnoliopsida; Zingiberales; Musaceae
Exons: 2
Source: RefSeq, a predicted model, not a curated record
CGUGUGCUACAUCGCGCGUGAAUAGCGACGGAGCGAUCUCCACUUCCCCGGAAUACGGAGAGCUCGCGCGAUCGAAGAGAGAAGGUUCGCUUCACAGGUGGCAACCACCAAACCCUAGCGCGCGUGCGCGUGGGAGUCGCCCUCUUCGUUGCUUCCGAGGUGACCACGGACUCGAUCGAUCGGCUUCCGCUUGCAAUGCAUUUUGAAGCCGGCCAGUAGCCUUCCGUUCCUGGAUUGUUAGGGUUUUGAUGAUCUAUCUAGAUAACGGGUGUCGGUUGUUUUGCGUUUAGCCAUCUCUUUUCUUCGUUCUUGGGAUUUCGUCCCAGAAAGUUUGUUUAUCCGUGUGUAAUACUUUGCCUUUUGCUUGAUCGUUUCGGUAGUCUGAUCGUGCAUUCCUAUGUUUAUGAUCGAUCUCAGUUGAGAAAUUGGAUUGGUCACUGAUGGCUACCAAGAGGAUCCAAAAGGAGUUGAAGGACUUGGAGAGCGACCCUUCGGUUGCCUGCAGUACAGGCCCUGUUGGUGAGGAUAUGUUCCACUGGCAAGCAACUAUUACAGGGCCUGCUGACAGCCCCUUUUUAGGAGGCAUAUUUUUAGUGAAUAUUCACUUUCCACCAGAUUACCCUUUCAAGCCACCCAAGGUCACAAUCUUCCUUCUCUCUGUCAAUUGAUGUGCUUAUUUGUGAAAUUAUGCCAUAACCAAUAAAUUUGUUACUUCUGUGAUUAUAUUGAUGCCAGAAGAUCAAUUCACAUUGCUGUUCCUGUUCCUUUUGACUGUAGCUUUUUAUCGUUGACUGUCUUUUUCUCUUUUCUAAUUAUCACAUGAAAAUCUGAUAUAGGAUCUGUGUUCAAUUUUCCGAGAUAUCCCAGGUAAUUUCAGUCAGAAUGGUUGCAUAUGGGAGCAGUAAAUAGUUUUGGAGUAGUAUACUAUAUGGUUGGCCUUUUACCUUUCUUUGUUUGCUCUCUUUUUUUUUUUCGAGUGUUUCGGUUCAUUCACCUUUUUUUAGCAAUAAUCGAACGGUUAUUAAUUGCCUAGCUAGUUUGUAUUAAAUCUUCAUAUUAUUUGCCAAGUGGAUGUCAUUUAUGGGUCGCAUGCAUCAUGCCAUGUUAUUUUAGUAUUACGACUUGCGACUUUGUUAUUGUUAUUGUUGUGCUUCAACAUGUCCAUCAGCACCAAGUCAUAUCUAAUAAACCAACGGGUACUUGCCAUUAUGCACUGGAUGAAUGCAGUGGCAUGAAUAAAGCACCCCAUCCUGCUCUUGUACACAGUGUGUUUGUGGUGUGCAUGAGAGUUAAGACAGCAUGGUACUUUGGUGGUUUUCACCAUCGUACAUAAAAGAAUGGGAGCUGUGCAACUUUUUCGCAAUCAAUCUUACACUCAAGUCUAGCCCUGCUUUCUUGUAAUGACAAGCUUAUUUUGAACUCAUGUCAUCACGACAUUUUGUUAGACUAAAAUGAGGAUAACAUAUUCAGAAAGGAAAGCUGAUUCUUACAAAGGAGAUUUCUCAACAGAACCCCCUUUUUUUCUCAGGUCUUAUUUCAAUAUUUCUUAGCAAGAUGUAUUUCAUCCAAAUAUUAACAGCAACAGGAGCAUCUGCCUUGACAUCCUUAAGGAGCAGGGCAGCCCUGCUCUUCAAUGUCUAAGGUAACUUUAUAUUUCUUGAUUUUCUGAUUGAACAUAUGCUCAAUUUCUCAUACGUAAUGUUCAGAGGCAACCUAAAGCUUAGAGGAAAUCAGUUGAAUUAUGGUAUUGAAGGAUUAUUUUCUUAGAUAUGAUGCUAAAUGUCAGAUUAUUAUCAUCCAUGCUCUUGAAAAUUCUAUGGUGCACGUCUUUGAUUAGAAGAGCUGGCUAUACCUUUUGUUUUCAAUCUAAGAUGAGUCCUGUAUAAACUGGGAGGAUAAGAGAACACUUGACUCUUGUAGAUAGUCUAGAGAUCUGAGAGGAGAUGGACAUGACAGCUGAGGGAUUAUAAACUAGAGACUACAAAAGGCUCUAGUGUAACCAGUUAAAUUAAAGUUUAUGUAGACUUUGCUUAAUUGUUUCCACAUGCCUCUGAUAAGCACAAGAAAUUCUUCUGAUAAUUGUUCUUCAAUCUGUAGACCGAAGAACAAUUAUCAGAAGCAUUUCUUGUGCUUAACUGUUUCCACAUGCCUCUGAUAAGCACAAGAAAUGCCUUUGAUCACAUACAAGUAGUCACUCAAAAUCUUCCACAUGCCUCUGACAAGCACAAGAGGUAAUAUGACUUCUCGGCAUGGUCUUAUAAUUUCUUUACUGUUGUAACCACAAAUUAGUUGCUGUGUCAGGAAUAACUGUUAUAUUUCAGAACACAUUAUUUUUUCAGUACACCCUGUGGUUUGUCCUUGUAAAUUUACAGAGUUAAAGAAGUUUCUGCUAAUGUUCCUUCUUCUUGGUGAAUCAUUUUGAACCAUUUUCUGUCGAAGAUUGGUUUGUCCUUGUAAAUUUAGAGAGUUAAAGUAGUCUGUGCUAAAUGUUCCUUCUUCUUGGUGAAUCAUUUUGAACCAUUUUCUGUCAUAGACCCCUAAAGCUAGAUACAUAUUUCAAUUUUAUGUAGGAAAAAGUUGAUAGUCCUUCCAUCUGGGGGAGUAGUUUCAUUUUCCUGCUUGUCCAACUAUUCCAACUUGUGUUGCAUUUCUUGCCAAAAUGCUGAAAUAAAUGGAUGGUUUUGUAUUAGUUAAAUUGUACAACCCGAUGCAAUUUGAAAAAACCUUGAUUUGUAUGUAGUCAAGUAAUCUUAAAUCUACUCAAUGAAUAAUAGCCUUUUGCUUUUAAUUCCUUGCUAAUUACUGCUGGAAUUUUGAAGUUGUGAUGCCAUUGAGCCAUUCUCACCUAUUAGAGGUGUAUUUAAAAUGGGCUUUUUUGUUCGUGCUACUUCUUGAAACAAUAAUAACAUGCUAAAUCAGGUCUUUAAUCUGAGCUAUUCUCUUGUUUUCCUUUGAUUUCUAGUGUCUUUGCAUUCUCUGAUCAUUAUUCUAGUUGACACAUCCUAGAUUAGAAGGCAAUUGUAUCUUCUUUUUUGUCCUAGAAAGAAAUUUGUUGAAAGAGGUGGAAUCAAAUGAAAAGCAUUUUUGCAAACAAGUGGAAGUCCUUUCAAAAUGCUAUUGCCCCGAGAUGAUUGAGUAGAGAAAAUGAAGAACUUAGCAAGUGUAACUAUUUUUUUUUUCUUACUGUGUGAAGUGUAUUUGUAUUAACAGGUCAGACAAAUUGUUUUGUGGUGCAAUAUAUUUUUGUAAAAAUCAGUAGUCUCAGUUGUGGACACGAAACAUGACUUCCAGCAGCUAAAAUUCUACAUAAAGAUUGCAUGCCAAGUUCCUAUAAAUUCAA